RNAcentral lists this small RNA (546 nucleotides) under Pan troglodytes (chimpanzee). RNAcentral's name for it is "retained intron". The record is from RNAcentral. Lineage: Eukaryota; Metazoa; Chordata; Mammalia; Primates; Hominidae.
ACCUCUCAAGCAGCCAGCGCCUGCCUGAGUCUGUUCUGCCCCCUCCCCACCCAUUUCACCACCACCAUGACACCGGGCAUCCAGUCUCCUUUCUUCCUGCUGCUGCUCCUCACAGUGCUUACAGCUACCACAGCCCCUAAACCCGCAACAGUUGUUACAGGUUCUGGUCAUGCAAGCUCUGCCCCAGGUGGAGAAAAGGAGACUUCGGCUACCCAAAGAAGUUCAGUGCCCAGCUCUACUGAGAAGAAUGCUGUGAGUAUGACCAGCAGCGUACUCUCCAGCCACAGCCCCGGUUCAGGCUCCUCCACCACUCAGGGACAGGAUGUCACUCUGGCCCCGGCCACGGAACCAGCUUCAGGUUCAGCUGCCACCUGGGGACAGGAUGUCACCUCGGUCCCAGUCACCAGGCCAGCCCUGGGCUCCACCACCCCGCCAGCCCACGAUGUCACCUCAGCCCCGGACAACAAGCCAGCCCCAGGCUCCACCGCCCCCCCAGCCCACGAUGUCACCUCGGCCCCGGACACCAGGCCGGCCCCGGGCUCCACC